This is a long non-coding RNA of Drosophila persimilis, 749 nucleotides long. RefSeq lists it as uncharacterized. The record is from RefSeq and is a predicted model, not a curated record. NCBI's taxonomy places the organism in Eukaryota, Metazoa, Arthropoda, Insecta, Diptera, Drosophilidae. The transcript is spliced from 3 exons.
UUCCUUUUCUGGCUAAUUGUCUUGCUCUGGCUGUCGUUCUUUGUGGCCUUUUUCGGGGCCUUCUUCUAUAUCUGGACUUAUAUGUUCUCUCAAUGCAGUGACUGCUGCGAAGGUAUUGCUGAAUUUUUCCUGAAGUGCGUUCAGUUUCCCGGAUACUGUGCUGCAGGUAUGAUGCAGUGCAAGAAACCGUGCUAGAAUCGACGAAGAUGGCAAGAGGCGGCCACCCGCCACACAGUAUAGCACAGUGUCGACACUAUCCGUUUACCACUGUACCAUAUACAUUUUGUUGCUAUGCAGUUUCCAUGUUUUACUAUCGAUACCGCCAGAAGAUCUUCCUCUGCGUCUGAACUUCCUUCAACUGCAAAACCACCACGGACAUCAUGAACAGAUUACAUCAGGCCAACAGUUCACUUACUUUACUGUCGGUUUUUAUUUGGUUUUUGUUCUUCUCUUCAAUCCUCCUCCGUAUCGUCUAUUACUUAGAUACAGCCAGAAGAUCUUCCUCUUCGUCUAACCUUCCUUCAUUUAAGGAACCUUCUCCGACAUCGUAAACAGAUUACUUCAGAAUAAUAGUGACUAGAAGAUCAGUGGAUGAUGACAUUGAGUAAUAAUAUUUUAAUCCGCAGUUUUAUGGUAGAAUUGCUUAAAUUUUUCAACACUUAUCGGCAAUUAGCAUGAAUGACUUAUCAACACAAUCCUCAAGAUUUUAAGAGUGCUUUGUAUCCGGCGAUCAAAAUAAAUUUAAACAU